RNAcentral lists this unclassified non-coding RNA (983 nucleotides) under Hevea brasiliensis (rubber tree). The record is from RNAcentral. Lineage: Eukaryota; Viridiplantae; Streptophyta; Magnoliopsida; Malpighiales; Euphorbiaceae.
CGGAGGAGAACAUCUGCAGAAGAAGAAGAAAGAGUCAAGCACCCUAAACCUGAAGACUCCGUCUACUAUCAUCCUACACUGAAUCCUACUGGGGCCCCACCACCGGGAAAGCCUCCUAUGUAUAAGUCAUCCAUAGGGCCUCGGAUUCCCUUAUCUGCUGCUGCUUCAUCAAGCACUGCCGCAUCGUCCUCAAAUACAGAGUCGGAUGAUGGUACCUUAGCAGUGCUUCCCCCGCCACCUCCCCCACCUCCGCCUUUGCCAGAGAGCACUAACGUGGCCUCUGGUGAUAACUCUGUUAUACCUGCUUCUUUGCCUCUACCUCCACCUCCUCCCAUGCCACCAAAGCCUCCUGCACCAGGGUUGGGCAUGUCACUGCCUCCGCCUCCGCCUCCACCUCCACCUCCACCAGGCCCCCCACCAAAAGAUCAAGUUUCAAGUCACACCUUCCUACCACCGCCUUCUCCCCUCCAACAGUCUGCUCAGCCACCUCCACCUGGCACUAAUGAAAUUGAAAGGGAAAGAAAUUUAUCUACCUUGUCGGAUGAACCAUCAUCCAAAGAAACAAUUCAUGUGCCUACUGUACUCCCCCCACCACCUCCUCCUCCUAGUAUGCUGCUGAAGUCAGCCAUCAAUCAGUCUGAAGGCACCUCAUCUGAAGCUAAUGGUGAUAAUCCAACAGCAACUAAGGAUAACCUUAAAAUGGUUCCCCCACCACCUCCUCCACGGCAACCACCUCCUGUGGCUGGGCCAACUGUGAUUCCCACAUUACAGCCUGAUGUAUUGCCCCCAGGAAUAUCACAUUUGCCUGGACCCCCACCUCCACCAGGUAUGCGGGCACCAGGGGCUGCUACCGGACUUCCUGGCCAAGUGGCUCCUCCAGGAGUGAUGGUUCCACUAAUGCCAAGACCACCAUAUGGUCCUCCCCCUGGACCUCCUCCAAUGAUGAGACCACCACUUCCACCUGGUCCUCCUCCUACCUUACA